This is a long non-coding RNA of Carassius gibelio (silver crucian carp), 352 nucleotides long. RefSeq lists it as uncharacterized. NCBI's taxonomy places the organism in Eukaryota, Metazoa, Chordata, Actinopteri, Cypriniformes, Cyprinidae. The record is from RefSeq and is a predicted model, not a curated record. The transcript is spliced from 3 exons.
AGAGGACUCUUGGAGGGAGAUUUGUCGAUAUAAAUUACAUAAAAUCUACUGUGGGGGGACAUCACAGCUCUCCUGUCUUAUCAGAAAUGUCCUGUUCACUUUCUCACGGUUACACUAUGCUGUGAAGAGGUGGAGAAUCUGAAUGGGAUGCAGCAAUGACAGAACACCUGAAGCUUGCUCCGGGAAGAGAUGGGGGUGGAGGUUACAAGAAAUGAGCCAAACAACUGUAGUUAGUUUAAGGGAUAUUUCAUCCAAAAAUGAAAAUAGUCAUAAUUUUCUCACCCUCAUGUUACGAUCAUAAUAAUUUUUCCUACAGUGGCAGUUAAUGGUUUGUGAGAUCUGCUUGGUUACA